AUAACAGAAUCUCCCUCUUCGGUCUCAUGGACUACCUCACUAGAAGCAUCAUCUCCUUUGUAAUUGUUCUCUCUUGCUUCUUCACUACUAUUCGUCUUCUCCUCUGUACCACUCUUCUCUUUACUCUCCUCGCUCUCUUCGCUACUGCCAUUUUCUUUCUUCUCUUCAACCUCUCUCUCUUCCACCACACUCUUCUCUUUACUCUCCUCGUUCUCCUCUGCAACGCCAUUGUCUUUCUUCUCCUCAACCUCACUCUCACUCUCUUCCGUGCUACCUCCAUCUUCUUUCUUCUCUUCAACCUCGCUCUCUUCCGUACUACCACCAUCGUCUUUCUUCUCCUCAAUGUUUGGAUCUUCGUUUUCCUUCUCCUUGU
This 373-nucleotide long non-coding RNA is filed under the name Eutrema salsugineum. RNAcentral's name for it is "long non-coding RNA (ESAL_LNC001438)". The record is from RNAcentral. Lineage: Eukaryota; Viridiplantae; Streptophyta; Magnoliopsida; Brassicales; Brassicaceae.